AUUUAAAUAGUUUAAUUUAAAAUACUGAUUUGUGGGAUCAGUGAUGUAAUAGUUACUUUAGAUA
This 64-nucleotide transfer RNA is filed under the name Holotrichia sp. NS-2020. RNAcentral's name for it is "tRNA-His". Lineage: Eukaryota; Metazoa; Arthropoda; Insecta; Coleoptera; Scarabaeidae. The record is from RNAcentral.